CUGGCCUGGUUUAUCCUGUCGUGCUGCCAGCUCCAGGGGCCCUGCAGGGACUGGCCACACCAGGCAGCCGGCUGGGAGCUCCCGGCCUCCUCAGGCAGUUUCUUCUGUGUGCCCGAUCUCUUCUUGUCCUUACCCCUGCCGAAAACUAGCACUGGGUUAAAAUUAAGAGCUAAAGAGAAUGCAAGCCCACCAAGUCGUUAUCAUUGAUAAACUACGUCACACGAAUUGAUUGUGUACUUCAGAGAGGAGAUUGAAGGCAGGAGGAGAAGGGGAUGGCAGAAGAUGA
Molecule: long non-coding RNA, 286 nt
Organism: Cervus elaphus (red deer)
Lineage: Eukaryota; Metazoa; Chordata; Mammalia; Artiodactyla; Cervidae
Exons: 3
Source: RefSeq, a predicted model, not a curated record